UGGGGCUAAAGUCGGUGACGUCGGAGGUGAGGCGGUGGGUGCAGGUUGAAGUCGGCUAUGCCGGAGGGGGUGAGACAUCGGAAGAGGCCGAAGCGUAUUUGGGAGACAUCUGAGAUGGCAGCGAGGAGCUCGGAUUUGUUGAGAUGGGGCAUCCGCUCCACCAGCUCCACUGCUUCAUGGGGGCGGCAACGGGAGUCGUCGAUGGUGGGCUGCUCAAUGUCGGGCUUGAGG
RNAcentral lists this long non-coding RNA (231 nucleotides) under Elaeis guineensis (African oil palm). RNAcentral describes it as "long non-coding RNA (EGUI_LNC032870)". The record is from RNAcentral. Lineage: Eukaryota; Viridiplantae; Streptophyta; Magnoliopsida; Arecales; Arecaceae.